AGCAAGCACGCCCUCUAGGGAAACAGCACCACGGUAAUCCUGAAUUGUAGAUAGAAUGCAAGUCAUUUCAUAUUUCCGUAGAUUUAAGUAAGUAUAUGAUUAUUUGUGAAAUGGUAGAACCCUACAGUAGAAGAACAACAAAUAGCAGUCAUUCAAUUGUAUCAGUCUCAUGUAUUAGAUCAACCCCAUGGUAUUCAGAGUCGAAUGAUACUGUCAAGCGAAUGACAUACUUGAAAUUAAACAAGAAUAUCCCCCGUUUCUACAAAACAAUCAUAGGAAGUAAUAGAAAAUUACCAAUAAAUUCAUAUACUAAACUAACAUGAGCUUGAAAGAGAGAUCCAGGGUUGUAGUUUGACGAUUCAUCUGGUCAAAUGUAUGACGAUUCAUCUGGUCAAGGGUAUGUUCAGAGGUAUUUAAGUCUAUUAAGCUACUGGAUAGUAUUUUAGUAUGAUCUUUGGGUGCUUCUUUUCUCUUAUUAGAUAGAUCACUUCAGUUUCGCAAUUUCUCUUGACAUUCCAAUAAUUGCCCUACUAAUAUUUCCAGUCUGUUGCACUCUAUAUGCAUAGUGACUUGAUUUUUCCACAUUUGUGCCUGCAAAAUCUGGUGCAAAUCAUUCAAAAUGAGAUUUGACGAGGAUAGGCUUCCUCCGCUAUUUUAGAUACAACAUUUAUAAAUGAUGCUACAUGUUCUGCUACUAAUAAUAUAGCAUAUGAAAAUAAAUGUUGCACUUUGAAAGCUACACAGGCAGAGCACUACUACUUGUGUAGACUAAUCUUUUUUUCCUUAUCGAUAGCUACCACUUGCUUACAUGAAGCUAUAACUGUGUGUUUGCUCCCAAGACUGAGACAAGAGAAACUAGCUCUUGAGAUUUUAUACUGCUUGUAUUCUCCAUGAAUUUUGAUUACAAACCAGAGAGGAGGUAGAAGGGAACAAGCAUUUUGUUAACUCUUUGCUAGCAACUAUAUUGUUUUCAGAUCUGUUUGCCCAUAGGAUGUUCUUAAGAUGAAUACUCUGUAUCGACUGAACCAUGUAAUUUUUUCAAGUAGGUUUACAAUAAUAAUGUUAGACUAAUUUUGGUUUGUUCUAGGUUUAUGUGGCAGGAUGGUCCUGAUGAACACGCUGAAGAAACACGCUUGCCUCUCCACCAGGAAAACACUUUGUAGAGAUAGUGGAGGCCUGGAAACAAUGGAAAAUACGAAACAAGUCCUACUUACAUGAUCUAGGUUGACAGAGUGAUCGUAGACCUCAAACAGUUUGAGUGCAGAAUUCGUCCUGAGCACACAAAGGCGUCCUCAUUGUUAUUCACUGCUACUUGCACUUGUAAUAUCUGUUUUCGUACCUUUUUGUGCUCGGCCAAAAUGGCAUAAGCCUCUGUACAUAUGCCAUGCAAAUAAUUCUGCUGCUGUAAUUCCAAUUUUUUUUUGCCUGUCAUGGUAGUGCCCAACUCAUAUAUGUAUAUGUGUUGCUGAAAAUGUAUCCCUUGGUUAAGUCAGUUCACAGUUUGGUGCGAGCUAAACCAAGAACCCAGAACGCACCAUCAAAACAAUUUGUCUCAGUCGAUGCUUAGCGCAAAAUUAAAAAGUUUGUUUCUCUGGUUAUAAUUUAUGGUGAUUUGCUAUGUUUCGUGAAACCUAAAAAGAUUUAUUAUCACUUUCCUACCUAUGAAUCUGUUUUACGGGGUCGUGCGCCAAGGCGCACAUUUAAAUCUAGUCUAAAGGUAUAAACGGUGCACCCUCAUGGAGCCUUUUGGGACUAUCCACGAUAGGCAUGUGUCACGCGAGGGCAGGGCGCUUGCCUCGUUUCUCCUACAGCGAUUGGUCCACAUGGCGCUGUGUGCUUGGCCGCUGCUUGAUCGUGCGUGAGACAAAAACCCAAGCCAAGCCCUAGCACAAUAUUCCCCAAUCCCCGCAGCCGCCGUCCGCCGUGCUUCUUCCGCUCGACGAGCUCGCCCUCCUCCUCCAUCCCGCAGCGCCCCCUUCUGUCUCGUCGCCGCUGGCCCAGCCGCCACACGCCGCUCCAUCUUCUCCCCCAUGCCACUCGUCGGAGGUGGAGCAGAAGCCGCCUUCGUCCACGCCCUUAUCGUGUAGACGCGCAGCGCCCGCGCGGGAAGGAGGCAGGGCCAUGGGCCAUGGCGGGGAGGGACGAAGAGAUGCAGGAAUCGGCUGCCGGAGCUCCGCCACGUCCCUCACUCUCCCCGAGCUCACGCUGCCACGUCCGCCAUGGAGGAUUACGCGGAGAAGUGGAGGAAUAAUCAGGGGGAACGAUGCGGGGGAUCGGACAGGAGGUUGGUCUGCCGGUUGCGCUGCUGCUACUGCUGCUCUUCAACCUGGUGUUCCCUCACCAAUAUCCAGGAUGAUGUGAUGUUUCUCAUGAACCAAUUUGUUGUACUGAUUAA
Lolium perenne is the source of this 2395-nucleotide long non-coding RNA. RefSeq lists it as uncharacterized. NCBI's taxonomy places the organism in Eukaryota, Viridiplantae, Streptophyta, Magnoliopsida, Poales, Poaceae. The record is from RefSeq and is a predicted model, not a curated record.